This 305-nucleotide ribosomal RNA is filed under the name uncultured bacterium. RNAcentral's name for it is "bacterial SSU rRNA". It matches the Rfam family "Bacterial small subunit ribosomal RNA", at positions 337 to 635 of the family's 1533-position model. The record is from RNAcentral.
GCCUACGGGGGGCAGCAGUAGGGAAUCUUCCACAAUGGGCGAAAGCCUGAUGGAGCAACGCCGCGUGGGUGAAGAAGGUCUUCGGAUCGUAAAACCCUGUUGUUAGAGAAGAAAGUGCGUGAGAGUAACUGUUCACGUUUCGACGGUAUCUAACCAGAAAGCCACGGCUAACUACGUGCCAGCAGCCGCGGUAAUACGUAGGUGGCAAGCGUUAUCCGGAUUUAUUGGGCGUAAAGAGAACGCAGGCGGUCUUUUAAGUCUGAUGUGAAAGCCUUCGGCUUAACCGGAGGAGUGCAUUGAAACUG